Molecule: ribosomal RNA, 323 nt
Filed under: Staphylococcus aureus
Lineage: Bacteria; Bacillati; Bacillota; Bacilli; Caryophanales; Staphylococcaceae
Description: partial 23S ribosomal RNA
Rfam family: Bacterial large subunit ribosomal RNA
Source: RNAcentral
UAAGGGCGCACGGUGGAUGCCUUGGCACUAGAAGCCGAUGAAGGACGUUACUAACGACGAUAUGCUUUGGGGAGCUGUAAGUAAGCUUUGAUCCAGAGAUUUCCGAAUGGGGAAACCCAGCAUGAGUUAUGUCAUGUUAUCGAUAUGUGAAUACAUAGCAUAUCAGAAGGCACACCCGGAGAACUGAAACAUCUUAGUACCCGGAGGAAGAGAAAGAAAAUUCGAUUCCCUUAGUAGCGGCGAGCGAAACGGGAAGAGCCCAAACCAACAAGCUUGCUUGUUGGGGUUGUAGGACACUCUAUACGGAGUUACAAAGGACGACA